Molecule: ribosomal RNA, 466 nt
Filed under: uncultured bacterium
Lineage: Bacteria
Description: bacterial SSU rRNA
Rfam family: Bacterial small subunit ribosomal RNA
Source: RNAcentral
GACCAGACUCCUACGGGAGGCAGCAGUGAGGAAUAUUGGUCAAUGGGCUUACGCCUGAACCAGCCAAGUCGCGUGAGGGAAGACUGCCCUAUGGGUUGUAAACCUCUUUUGUCAGGGAGCAAUUGGCGCUACGUGUAGCGUUAUCGAGAGUACCUGAAGAAAAAGCAUCGGCUAACUCCGUGCCAGCAGCCGCGGUAAUACGGAGGAUGCGAGCGUUAUCCGGAUUUAUUGGGUUUAAAGGGUGCGUAGGGGCGCGCCCAAGAGAGGGGAAAACGCGGGGGCCACACCCCCGCCCCGCCGUUGAAACUGGCAGUCUCGAGUUGGAGAGAAGUAUGCGGAAUGCGCGGUGUAGCGGUGAAAUGCAUAGAUAUCGCGCAGAACUCCGAUUGCGAAGGCAGCAUGCCGGCUCCACACUGACGCUGAGGCACGAAAGCGUGGGUAUCGAACAGGAUUAGAUACCCCAGUA